CCUACGGGAGGCAGCAGUGGGGAAUAUUGGGCAAUGGAGGAAACUCUGACCCAGCGACGCCGCGUGCGGGAUGAAGGCCUUCGGGUUGUAAACCGCUUUCAGUAGGGAAGAAGCGAAAGUGACGGUACCUACAGAAGAAGCACCGGCUAACUAUGUGCCAGCAGCCGCGGUAAUACAUAGGGUGCAAGCGUUGUCCGGAAUUAUUGGGCGUAAAGAGCUCGUAGGUGGUUCGUCACGUCGGAUGUGAAAAUCUGGGGCUCAACCCCAGACCUGCAUUCGAUACGGGCGAUCUAGAGUGUGGUAGGGGAGACUGGAAUUCCUGGCGUAGCGGUGGAAUGCGCAGAUAUCAGGAGGAACACCAAUGGCGAAGGCAGGUCUCUGGGCCAUUACUGACACUGAGGAGCGAAAGCGUGGGGAGCGAACAGGAUUAGAUACCCUGGUAGUCCACGCCGUAAACGGUGGGCACUAGUUGUGGGAACCUUCCACGGUUUCUGCGACGCNGCUACGCAUAAGUAGCCCGCCGUCGGGAGGUACGAGCGCGAGAAGUUAAACUACUAAGUAGUAGUUAGACGGUCGUUGAGACGUUGCCGACGGCGACGACGAGGGAGGAGG
This 612-nucleotide ribosomal RNA is filed under the name uncultured bacterium. RNAcentral's name for it is "bacterial SSU rRNA". The stretch from base 1 to 522 matches the Rfam family "Bacterial small subunit ribosomal RNA", at positions 338 to 873 of the family's 1533-position model. The record is from RNAcentral.